GCAAGAUCUCAGAGCCUUGUUACUUUACUUACAGUAGCUGCCAAGAACAAUUUUGUUUGUAAACAUUUUGAUUUUGAAUGCGCAUAUCUGAAUGCCAAGCUUGAUGAGCAAAUCUUUUUGAACCCUCCACCAGGUUUUGAACAGCAAAAUAAAAACACUGUUUAUCAUCUCUGCAAAGCCCUGUACGGACUUCGCUGUUCCGCCCACCAGUGGAACUUAUGUUUACAUGAAGUUUUAACAAAAAUGAAUUUUAAGCGUUCUGCUGCAGAUGCUUGUGUGUACACAAGGGGAAAACAUGACAAAAAGAUUUUUAUUUGUCUUUUUGAAGAUGAUUUGCUUUUCUGUGCCAAAACAACUUCUAUAAUUGAUCAGAUUUCAUCAGAAUUGUCCAAAACAUUUGUUCUUAAAGACCUAGGACAACUGAAAAGUUAUCUAGGCAUUGAAAUUGAAACAGUGAAAGACAAAGGCUUUCUGUUAAGCCAAACAAGCAAAAUUAAAGAGCUUUUACAAAGAGCUAGACUCUCAGAUGCAAAAGGAGCCAAAACCCCAAUGUGUCUAGAUUUAUGCAAGCCAAAAGACUCUCCUGAUUUUUCAAAUCCAACUUUUUACAGAUCUAUAAUUGGAAGUCUUUUACACAUUACCAAUUUUACCCGUCCUGAUAUAGCAUUUGCUGUUAAUGCUUUAGCAAGGGCUAGUUCUAAGCCAACAGUUGCCCAUUGGGAAGCAACAAAAAGAAUUUUGAGAUAUUUAAAAGAUACUNCUGAACAUAAAUUUGCUAUUUUUCCUAAUGAUGAAAAUAACAUUAUUGCUUACUGUGACAGUUCUUUUGCAGAUGAAGAAGACAGAAAAUCUUGUACUGGUUUUGUUAUUAAAUAUGCAAAUGUACCUUUGUUAUGGUGUUCCAGAAAACAAAAUUCCAUAAGCUUAUCAUCCUCAGCAUCAGAGUUUUCAGCUUUAUCUGAGAUGAGUAAUGAUCUUAUUUGGAUUAAAUCUCUGUUACAAGAUCUAGGUGAAGAUCCUAAUCUNCCUAUUCAAGUUUUUGAAGAUUCUCAAACAUGCAUACACUUUGCUAAUAAUGAAAAUCUAAAACAAAGAACAAAGUAUAUUGCAGUCAAGUACCAAAAUGUUAAACAGCUUGUACAAGAAGGUUUUAUUAAACUUGUUUAUAUUUCCAGUGAUGAAAAUUUGGCAGACAUUUUCACAAAACCUGUUACUUUUGCUAAACAUUCUUUAAUGUGUGAAAAGCUGAACAUAUAUCCUUCUGNGUAAUUUUUCUCAACAUGUUUGUAAUACUGUCAUUAGUUAUGGGAAGGGGUGUUAGAAUAUGGAUUCUAUAUUAGCCAUAAGCUAAUGCCAGUAUUCUCUAGUCUUAACAAUUUCCUGUUUCCUGUAUUAUAGUUAUUUUGUUUAUGCUGAAUGGAAAGUUACUGAAGUAGUCAACAUCCAGCUUCAUAGAAUUGUUAUGGCUAGUGUGUUACAGAUAACAGUAUUUCCUAUCCGUGAGAACCUUAGCUUGAGAGCUUAUCUAUUCAAUAACAAUGUAUUACAA
Salvator merianae (Argentine black and white tegu) is the source of this 1549-nucleotide long non-coding RNA. The record is from Ensembl. Lineage: Eukaryota; Metazoa; Chordata; Lepidosauria; Squamata; Teiidae.